AUGGUUCUUCAAACAGCUCCUGCCUGCAUAGCCUCAAGCACACUGGUUUCCAUCAGCGAGCUCUCUGAUUGGUCUUCAGCGGCCGGCUGUCACCAGAGCUCUACCAUUAAAUUCAUCACGCAGGAUGAAGCUGCGGUGCAGCCCCUCCUCCUUGUCCACGCUGCGCGACAAACAUUCAUCUGUAAGAUACUGGAAAUCCUCCGUCAGUACCUGCUGGUGCACCAGGAUGAGCAGAGGUUAAAGAGAGCAGCAGCACCAUUGCAGGGCUUAGCUGGAGCCGCUCUAACAGCAUGCGCCUGCUCAACAUCUGGAACAAAGAAGUCAGUCUGGAUCUACCCUCGGUGUUUACAACGCUGUUGUUUUUUCACACUCCUCGCAAAAUCUCGCCCAAACACACAUUCCAGACUCACCAGCUCAACAUGGGGGGAAAAUAUACUAUACUUUUCCACUGUAAACCCCACUCCAGGAGGUGAGGCAGGUAUGGGAAAACUGAAGCCUAAAGCCUGCAUGAAUCGGGGAGGAUCUGACUGUUGCUGGAGUGGCAUCGCAAGCUGCCAACUGUCUGUUUACAAGCUUCUAAAGAGACGUCUUAGGAGGCAUGGGAUGCCGCAUUCUACUAGUAUGUCAAAAAACACCCACUGAGUUCUUCUGUGAUGACAAUGAGAAUGCACAAACAAUGUCUUCAGGCCAAAAACCUCCACAAGAAACAACAAACGAUUAAAAAAAAGUCACUAUGAGACCAACAGCCUUAAAAAGCUGCAGAUGUUAGGGUGAUUAGAAAAGCAUAAAAAUGACAAAAAAAACAUUUGUUUACAGCUGCUAAUUUUUUUUGAUGCCACAUGAGCUGACAGAUGGAGGUGGGGAGAUGACAAGGUAAACACAACAGAGCACGAUCUACUCAUGGGAAUCACACAUACACACACACCUUUCAACACACAAUGACACAUGACUAAAGGUUGCCAGGUUCAAACACCGGGUCUGUUAAAGACCGGUUUACCAAGUCCGAGGAUUAUGCAUCUGAAGUUACCUGCCCCCCUGGUAAUGUGAAGCCCCUUUAUGAGGCCUAUGGGCAACAGCGCACAAGACAGGCAUCACUUCAAGAUGCCAGAGGUGAAAUUUGGAGCACCGGGCAUCAGGAGGGAUGCCUUGAGAAAGAUUUCCCUUUCAGAGAAGAGAAAUUCUGGCCAAUUGCGCCACCAGCUCGUAGAUUGAAAUCUAUAAAUCCACAGCUGAUUUUCCAUUUAGAUGAAAUUUGGCUGCAGAAAAAGCUUUCACAGCAAAGAGGUCACAGCCCUUUCUUUAUACCUCUUCAGUGAGAACAACUUGACAGGAUCAAGUUCAGCACCUGACAACAAACCCUGCUUCUGUCAAGUGUUAAGUUCCAUUGUGACCUGCAAUGGUGCACAAUGGCCCCACAGGACCUUUCUACUAUGCUGCCUAUCAAAUGUCUUUCAGGAAAAAAUGAAGGUGCAUGAGUGUUUCUGUUUUCCUCAACAGUUCACACAAUUCAGGAAAUUAUGAUGACUUUUAACAAGUUUUAUUGACCCAAAAGCUAAAAUUUUUUCAGACAAAUGUGUGCUCAUUUUUAAAAUGUUUUUUAUCUUGUACUUUAACCUUCAUGCCUGUUAAUAAAAACUUUUUUUUACCAGCUGUUUAUCGUCUUACAAAAUGUUUUUCUCACUGUUCUAAAUUAACUUCCAAAAAGGUUAAAGGUUAUACCUGCCAGUAAUUAGAUAACAACUUUUUCACACUGUUUUAAAAUGUUUUUACAAAACAAAAUCCAUAAAUCUUAUCAAAAAUACCACAAUGACUGUUUGCACAUUGAUUUAGGUGACAAGUAUGCAUUCUCCAUUGAGGUACAUGAGGUCGAGCUUCAAGAACGCUGUUUUUGUGCUCCACCAGCUCCAGGGGAAAAAUAAAAAAUCAUUUUUUCUUGCAACAUUAGGGGAGUUUAUCAGAGAUACCCAUCUAUCUGUUUUUGUCAACCCUGUUCACCCGGUUCCAGCUGGUUGGGGGGAGUUUGUGCUUUUUGAACUUGUAGUCAGGAAAGGUGUGCACCUUUCAUCAGGGUGAACCCGAAAAAAAAGAAAACAAGUUCAAAUUUAUAGACAUGUAAAAAGAAAAUUCAG
RNAcentral lists this long non-coding RNA (2129 nucleotides) under Oryzias sinensis (Chinese medaka). RNAcentral describes it as "lncRNA (ENSOSIG00000018584.1)". Lineage: Eukaryota; Metazoa; Chordata; Actinopteri; Beloniformes; Adrianichthyidae. The record is from RNAcentral.